This is a long non-coding RNA of Labeo rohita (rohu), 5796 nucleotides long. RefSeq lists it as uncharacterized. Lineage: Eukaryota; Metazoa; Chordata; Actinopteri; Cypriniformes; Cyprinidae. The transcript is spliced from 3 exons. The record is from RefSeq and is a predicted model, not a curated record.
AAAACUAAAAAUAUGUCGCAGGGUGGACGGUGAGUGUGGGACGCCCUGAAACCCCUCUGUUUUGGAUGCUUCGAAACAGGUUUCUAUAGUUUUGGGAGGUGGAUGCUUGAGGACCUGAGCUGAGUGAGCGCAUCUCAACCAUCACUUUCAUCCUCUGCAAGUUCAGCGCAGACGACACACUUUCUCUGAGACGCCGUGAGCCAGCUGUCUCUUUGAAAUCACCAGGGAGUUAAGAAGUUAAUAUCGGAGGACAGUCUUUAAUGCAGGUCUUCGGGGCUGCGUUUAUGGACUGGUGAUUAGAGGGCAUAUAGACUACUAGAUGAGGGGGCAAAAAGGGGUUCAGGAACACAGGUGACAUGUCUUGUGCUAUCUCUCGCAUUUUUUAAUCUGCUUUUUCCCAGUGUUAGCAGCGCUGGGGGAAUGGUAGGAUUUUACACCCUGUUCAGAAUGUGUGCUUAUGAACUGAUGUGUGUGUAAACAUAAACACAGACUUACAUAGCAUGGGGAGAAGUAUUUGCAUGCAUUUUUAUUGUUUUCUUUACUUUAGAUAACUCUUUUGUCUCUGUAUAUUUUGUGUCUCAAUGCAGAUCACAUGUCACUUUUGUAUUUAUAUGUGAAAGGAUAAACUUUAUAUUUAAACAUAUAAAGUCACAUUGCAUUAAAGGGAUAGCUCAUCCAAAAAUGAAAACUCUCAUCAUUUACUAACCCUUUUCUGUUGAGGACAAAAGAAAAUAUUUUGAAGAAUGUUGGUAUUGACUUCCAUAGUAUGGAAAAAAGCCAUUGACUUCCAUAUAUAAAAAAAACUACUAUGGAAGUCAACUGUUUGGUUACCAACAUUCUUCAAAAUAUCUCCCACCCACCCCUCCAAAAAAUUGCAGAUUACUUACCCCCGUGCCGUUCCAAACCUGUAUGCCUUUAUUUCUUAUGCAGAACACAAUAGAAGUUUUGAAGAAUGUUGGUAUUGACAAAGAAGAGAGAAAAAAAAAAAACUCUGGAAGUCAAUGGCUACCAUUUGGUUACCAACAUGCUUCAAAAUAACUUCUUCCACCAUAUAUAUAUCACACGAGUAGAUGUGUCAUAUGGCUGUAUAUUGGCACAGCUGUGUUUCAGCCAUAGGUAAUCACAGUGUGCCGAUAUACAGCCAUAUCUCACAUCUAUGAGUGUGAUAUUAUGUUUAUACAAAAGUUUGAUGGAUACAAGUGUGUAAUUACAAGCAAAAUAACAACAGAGUGUCUUUAAAAGUGCUCUUUUGUGCAGAACCACUUCCUUCUGCCACAGCUUAAAGUAUAAAGUUGACAAUUUAACAGCUGAGCCCUAGCCUCCGUUACUAAUUCAAAAAUGUCACUUUAGAAUUAGUAACAAAGGAAUGUUGAGUUGCUUUAUUGAAAGCUUAUUGUAUUACUUUAUUAAAAGCUCACUGUAUUAUGUGUAGUAGAGUGUUAUAAGAGAGAGAUGGACUGGGUGAGUGUGAUUACCUGCAUCUGAUUCAUUCUUCAGAUCAGUCUCAUAUUCACAAUAACCAUUAGUUUGAAUAUCUGCUGAGGAAAGUGUUAUCUUUGUCGUAACAUUAAUAUCCUUUCAGUUCAUCAAUUUUGCUGCUCAGUGCAUUUAUUUGCUGCAUCAAGCUGUUGUUGAAACUAAAAAUAACUUUCUUUAAUGCUGACUCAUAAAAACAUUCUCUUUUCGCUGUCUAAUGACGGAACAAUGUAACUAAAAUCACCAACACGAACAUGCACCAUUUCUCAAUACUAAACAUUAUUAUUAAAAUACUAUUAUUUAUAUAAAAUAUUAUUUAUUGAAUAAUAAUAUUUAUUAAACAACAAAAACCAUCAUAAAAGUUGCUAAGCAAUUCAGUCAAAAGUAUAAAGGCAACGCUCUGAUAUACAGCAGCCAAAACUAUUCUCUAGAAUAAAUAACAGAUUAAUGAGAUCAAAGACUACUGUUAGAUUUACCCAUAACAAAUUAUAUCUCAUGUGUAACCACUACAGAGACAUCAGAGCCAGUGGUAAAUUCCAGAAGAUCUGACCGAGGUGAGGCACUCUCGGGCGGGUUCAUGAGAGCAGAAUGGCCGCUGACAAUCUGGAGCUCACAUGUCCGAAAACAUUGGUGCAAAUUUAUAAAUAUUGUUAUCUUUAUUAACAAACUGCAUAAUUUAACUAUAAACAAGUACAUUCUAUCCUAAAAACCUCUUAAAACUACAUUCCCUGACACAAAAACAGUAAUGUUUAUAAAAUGACAGAAUUUGGGCAUCCGCCACGACACUUGCUGUAAGAAGUACUGCAAGCGGAGUGAUACAAUUACAAACUGUGAAACGGCGGUUGGAGUUCUGAUAUCACUCUAAUAUCAGUUUCAUAUAUAUAUAUAUAUAUAUAUGAAGAGUUCAGAUGCAAAAGCCUCUAAAUCCAUCUGACGUUUUUCUUUAAAAUAAGCACUUUUCUCAGGCUCCUAUGAAUAGGUUUCUACCUAAGUACUGGUACUUCUGAUUGAGCUGAGGCUGGGAUUUAGUGAGUUUGAAGUAAAAAUAUUUGAUGGACGUAUACUAUGUGUCGAGAGCAUUCACUCAGUAUCAUUAUCUCUUUUUUGACUGUGGUGGCUUUUAGAGGGUUUUGCAUCUGAACUCUUCAUAUAUAUAUUCCAAAAAUCAAAAAAAAAAAAAAAAAAAAAAAAAAAAGACCUAUCAAAAUGUACUCACCCACAUUCUUAGGCAGAAUACAAAAGAAGGUAUUUUUGAAGAAUGUUUUGAAGAAUUCAAAGAGUUUUCAUUUUUGGGGUGACAAUAUUAAGAUUUCUUCCUCUUCAAUUUCUUAAAGCUUAUUGACAUCUUUACUACCUGUGCAAAGUAAGUAAAAUUGUAGAGCAGCAGCACUAGUUGCAGUAGAGAUUAAUUGUUUUACCCCUCUUGAUCCGCCAGCUCUUCCAUGUUCGUCUGCCAUGAGGCAGGCAUUCCAGUUUGGCUGCUGAAAGCUGGCCUCGCUGAACCGCGGGGUCAGCGCACCUCCAGUGCUACUCCAGCUUGCGCUUCAUCCUCUACCGCACCGGGGGCACCUGGCACCCCUCCCUACCAUGGCAGGCCAGAUCAAUGGUAAGAUCCAUUCGAGCAGAAUGACCGGAGGUCGGCAUCAAAGGCCCCCCGCUUGUCUCGCUGCCACCUGGAGCUCAGCUAGGGUCAUGGGCCGCCUGGGCCACCACUGCCUCCUCUUCUCUUCAGCUGGCUGGGUAUGCUGACUGGGACCCGGGCAGGGUACGAGCUGGCUCUGCCCUGGCCCAGCAGCCCACAUGGGGAGAGGGCCAGAGGUCAAGCCCAUCAGAGCACUUUGCUUCAUCUGAUGAGAGGAUCUGGUCUGGUUUUAAUGAGGCAACACUGAUUCCACAUCUCUUUACGCAUAUGAGCAGACCUAAUGUGUGGAUUGUAGUAGAUGUAAUGCUGUGAUUUUUCUUUCCAGUCGCAGGAUGCAGAGGAAGCAUCCAAGCUGUUUCCAGGUGUAUUUUAAUAUCAAAAUUAAAAUCACUUUAAAGAGGUCUCUGUUUUCACUUCAAAGCUUUGAGUUUGAAUGUCUCAAUGUCCAAAAAAACAACUGAAACAUUCUUCAAAAUAUCUUCUGUUUUUGUUCAGCUGAAGAAAGAAUGUCUGUGAUGACAAAUUGUCUUUUUUGUGUAAACUAUCACUUUAAUUCAAUUGACUGUGAGAUUUUAAAAUGUUAAUUUCAGCAAGCCAAUUAUUGUAGAACAUAUAUUUAUUCAUACAACGUUUCCCAUAUGAACACUGUGGCUCCCUUCAGCAAAAUGUUGGUCAUAUGGUGAAAGAACAGGCAAUUAUUUUCAUGCAGCUGUCAAUACUCUGAACAGGCUAAUACAGUCUAAUUAAAUGUCAUUUCUUGGGCCACUAAUGAAAAUGAACAACUCAGAGGGGUUUUUAAUAUCGCUGCGAAGCGCUUCGACUGCCGGAGCCCUGCAGUGGACGAAUUGAUCCUUCUAUGUCCCUUACUUGUGUGAUGAGGGAUGAAAGGGGACGCAAUGAGAGACACAGAGAGAAAGAGAGAAAAAAGGCAAGUUUGGCAAGUAGAGGAGUGAAGGGGGAGACAGAUGGCGUGAAGUCUGCAUCUCUUUGGCGUUGGGCUCAUGGCGCUAAAAUCCUCCCUCUCACACAUUCCAACAAAUCCAACCAGGAGGCUCAGGAGUAUGUUCCACUGCUCUCGAAAUGAAGCAUCUGACCAGGAUAGAGCCACGCGCACACACACUUUCUCACUGUCUCUCUCCCUCUUUCACACACGCGCACACAUACAUUCACACACUGUCAGUCACCCGUAACCUAUCCAGAAGUUUACAUUUUUAUUAGUAUGUCACCCGUUCCGGAGUUUAUUGGCUUGUUAAAAUAGGAUGCUUUGGGAGUUGGGGAAGAGAGAACAUGGGGCCAUGACUGGAAAUAUUGCAGUGGAGAAAAGGAGACCAAGUGCCAUUCAAGUGUAAAAUCUCAUUGAGUAAACAUGGGGCCAAGGCAUGGAAACAGAGUGCGUACAAUCCAUUCGCGGCAGAAGAAAUGAGCUUUGCAGUUAGUCACGCUAGCCACCACAUUAGCCUGUGCUCCUGAUAAGUUUCCUGCCAGUUAGUCCCCGCCAGUUUGGACUCACGUUGUACGUCUUUUUAAUUGGCGCCUUGAAAAUAAAAGUAUAUAAAGUUGAUCUGCUUGGCAUAUACAUGUGAUCUAUUAGUCAACCGAGCUUCUGUUCUGUGCCUCGCCAUGGUUUUACGAAGCAGCGAAGCUUUAUUUUAACCUAUCGCUAUAUUUUAUUUGUCAUUUAGCUGAAAUGUACCGCUAAUAGCUGUUGACAUAUAAAACGACCAUGUGUUCCUCCUGUCAGCCAGAUGCAAAAGGCACAGAUGGGCUUCUUUUUUUUUCCAAAUGGAGCUCUUGAUAGCAGACAAUUAAUGUGCCUUUGAUUGCGCUCUACAGUACUCUCCCAUUGAUUCUGGAAAAUGUAUUCAUUGAAGGCAUAUGAUCAGCCACGGAUGAAUCUUGUCAGAUGUGCCAAAUCACAAAUGAAACGCUUUAGUGCCUCUCCCUCCAACCUCCAGGGCUAAGAGCUCUUGCACGACACGCACGCGCACACGCGCGCUGGUUCUCUAUCUCUCCCUCGCUCGCUCUCUAGAUGGAUGGCUGAGUUCUGCCUUCUGUUUGCGCUGCCAUACUAAUGAAUGAGUCAGCUGGGAAUAUGUAAUACUGUGAAAAGGUCACCGGAGGCAUGUGUAUCACAUUACUGUUAAUGAUAAUAAAAAGAACAAUCUGUGCAAAUCCAUCUUUGAAGUCAUUUUUAUUCCUUCCUACUGUGAGUGAUUUUAUCUGUCAUUACUCUUCUCCUUUCUGUUGUGGGCUGGUGGAUAUGCAGGGAAAACGUACUGUAAAAAUGAUCACAGGAUUUGUCUCUCAUCGUAUCUGUUUCACUGAUCCACAGUUAUCGGACGAGCGUUGUAAUGAACAUGAGGAGCAUCGCCUUUGAAGCAGCAUUAUGCAAAAAAGUUUGUCCAAAAAUUAAAAUCAUUUACCCACCCUCAUGUUAUUUCAAACCUGUUUGACUUCUGCAGAACAUCUUGUUUGCGUACCAGAAGAACGCAAGUCUUCACAAUCUCAUUUUGGGGUGAACUGUCCCUUUAAAAUGAGAAAAAACUCAUUUGAAUCAAAGCAUUAAUUCAGACCAGGAGACCUUUUUCAUAACUGCAUCUUCAAGUAUGCCCAGAUGUAAUGGCUGUGCAUCCUCUUUGAACCGGCUGUAAUAAAUGUGUAAUAAAUGUGUAAUAAUA